UUUUUGGAGAGUUUGAUCCUGGCUCAGGACGAACGCUGGCGGCGUGCCUAAUACAUGCAAGUCGAGCGGAUCUUGUCCUUCGGGACAAGGUUAGCGGCGGACGGGUGAGUAACACGUAGGCAACCUGCCCAUAAGACCGGGAUAACUGGCGGAAACGCCUGCUAAUACCGGAUAAUCGAUUCGCCCGCCUGGGCGAAUCGUGAAAGAUGCUUCGGCAUCGCUUGUGGAUGGGCCUGCGGCGCAUUAGCUAGUUGGCGGGGUAACGGCCCACCAAGGCGACGAUGCGUAGCCGACCUGAGAGGGUGAUCGGCCACA
Molecule: ribosomal RNA, 315 nt
Filed under: Paenibacillus antri
Lineage: Bacteria; Bacillati; Bacillota; Bacilli; Caryophanales; Paenibacillaceae
Description: Bacterial small subunit ribosomal RNA
Rfam family: Bacterial small subunit ribosomal RNA
Source: Rfam by way of RNAcentral